GGGAGAGAGAGAGGAACAGAGAGGGAGAGAGAGGAGAAUGAGGACAGAACAGAUGAACAAGAGCAGCAAACCAGCCUAUGAAAUGGAUGAAACAUCGUGACUGGGUUCCAGCGCUACACAAGGGACCUGCUGCAAACAUACCACCAUGCCAAUCAGAUUACUUCUUCCAUGUGAGGGUGAAGAGUUGACCCUUGUGGAUAAGAUGGUGAAGGUUUGCUGCGUUUUGGUGAACAGUGUGAUAAUAAAACCAGGGAAGAAUGAAACCUGCUCCUGUUAAAUAUUCUUAAGUCUUGUGCUGUUAAAAUUGCUGUAUUUUUUCAAAAGAUACAGUAAAUAAAGUAAUGUUAGUAGUGGGUGAUGUCAUGUAAACACUCAUGAUUUUGUGUAAACAUUUUGUCAUUUGUAAACUAUAAAUGACAUGGAUUCUACAUUGUAACUGGUGUGAUGUUCU
Astatotilapia calliptera (eastern happy) is the source of this 451-nucleotide long non-coding RNA. Lineage: Eukaryota; Metazoa; Chordata; Actinopteri; Cichliformes; Cichlidae. The record is from Ensembl.